CCAACAUCUCAAUUCCGCGGGUCAAAUUAAAAACACGCGGAUCCUAAGCGGGUCGAAAAAAAAAACGGGUCAAACCAAUUUCAUUCUCCCUCUCUCGCUCGCCUCUCUCUCUCUCGCCUCUCUCUGCGACAGAAACCCUAAUCUCCCCUUCUCGGGAGCUUCCUUUGUCUCACUACAAUCAGUCAGCUUUAGUAUAUGGAUAUCCAUAUGUCUGGGUCGGAUGAAGAAAGUGACAAUGAGAGUUAUUUAAAUAAGAUAUUCAUUACUCAUCAAGGUGAUGAUCAUGAAGAGGAAGAGAGUCAACCACAUAUGGCUGAUGAUUAUCAUAAUGGGAUGGAAGAGACUCAACACUCGGAUCGAAUUACAAUUGUUCAACUGUUCAAGUUAUAAUAUUUUGUGUUGUGUGAAGAUUCUUGUAGUUUUUUUGUGUUGUGAUUAUUGUUGUUUGUCACAAUUUUUUCACAACCUUUCUCAUCCCCAUAUUACAUUGAUUUUAGAUGUCCUACUGGAAUUUUUUUAUCAA
Molecule: non-coding RNA, 523 nt
Organism: Salvia hispanica
Lineage: Eukaryota; Viridiplantae; Streptophyta; Magnoliopsida; Lamiales; Lamiaceae
Source: RefSeq, a predicted model, not a curated record